UAUAUAAUGGCAGAUUAGUGCAUUAGGUUUAAACCCUAAAAAUGAAUUAUUUCUUAUAUAA
RNAcentral lists this transfer RNA (61 nucleotides) under Haemopis sanguisuga. RNAcentral's name for it is "tRNA-Leu". Lineage: Eukaryota; Metazoa; Annelida; Clitellata; Hirudinida; Haemopidae. The record is from RNAcentral.